UGUCUAUUAACUGUAGACCUGUAUGAAAGGCAAAAUGAGGGUUUAACUGUCUCUUAUAAUUAAUCUAUUAAACUGAUCUCCCAGUAAAAAAGCUGGGAUACCCACAUAAGACCAGAAGACCCUGUGAAGCUUAAACUAAACUAUUAAACCCAAUAAUAACUACUUUCGGUUGGGGCGACCUUGGAAACAAAAACAACUUCCAAAUAUACGUGUUACACCACAAUAAGGCUAACAAGCCAAUAAACGACCCAGUAUAGCUGAUAAUUGAACAAAGUUACUCCAGGGAUAACAGCGCUAUCUUCUUCAAGAGCCCAUAUCAAAAAGAAGGUUUACGACCUCGAUGUUGGAUCAGGACAUCCUAAUGGUGCA
Molecule: ribosomal RNA, 369 nt
Filed under: Natrix natrix (European grass snake)
Lineage: Eukaryota; Metazoa; Chordata; Lepidosauria; Squamata; Natricidae
Description: partial 16S ribosomal RNA
Rfam family: Bacterial large subunit ribosomal RNA
Source: RNAcentral